Molecule: long non-coding RNA, 213 nt
Filed under: Elaeis guineensis (African oil palm)
Lineage: Eukaryota; Viridiplantae; Streptophyta; Magnoliopsida; Arecales; Arecaceae
Description: long non-coding RNA (EGUI_LNC078933)
Source: RNAcentral
UGCAAUAAAAUAUAAUAAUUAGAUAAUGUAUAUAAUUUUUUUAAAAAAAAUUUAAAUAGUAAAUAGGAUUGGAAUGCUUACUCCACCAUCUAAAAUAGUCUGUGAUCGAUGGUGCUCCUGUAAUGUAAGAAUACUGCUGUCUCGAGGAUCGGGAUACCGCGGAUCGUAAGCCAUAAUACGCUAAUGAAUCUAAAAUAAUGAUAUUAUCAUAAG